UUGACGGAGCGAAGCGACGUCAAAGCGUAUACAAAGUCGAGUCGGUUUAAGGAUACGUUCGUUGGGUAGGGGAGCGUUCUGUAAGCCUGUGAAGGUGUGUCGUGAGGCAUGCUGGAGGUAUCAGAAGUGCGAAUGCUGACAUAAGUAACGAUAAAGCGGGUGAAAAGCCCGCUCGCCGGAAGACCAAGGGUUCCUGUCCAACGUUAAUCGGGGCAGGGUGAGUCGACCCCUAAGGCGAGGCCGAAAGGCGUAGUCGAUGGGAAACGGGUUAAUAUUCCCGUACUUGGUGUUACUGCGAAGGGGGGACGGAGAAGGCUAUGUUGGCCGGGCGACGGUUGUCCCGGUUUAAGCGUGUAGGUGUGUGUUCCAGGUAAAUCCGGUUCACUUUAACACUGAGGCGUGACGACGAGGCACUACGGUGCUGAAGCAACAAAUGCCCUGCUUCCAGGAAAAGCCUCUAAGCAUCAGGUAACAUCAAAUCGUACCCCAAACCGACACAGGUGGUCAGGUAGAGAAUACCAAGGCGCUUGAGAGAACUCGGGUGAAGGAACUAGGCAAAAUGGUGCCGUAACUUCGGGAGAAGGCACGCUGACACGUAGGUGAAGUGAUUUACUCAUGGAGCUGAAGUCAGUCGAAGAUACCAGCUGGCUGCAACUGUUUAUUAAAAACACAGCACUGUGCAAACACGAAAGUGGACGUAUACGGUGUGACGCCUGCCCGGUGCCGGAAGGUUAAUUGAUGGGGUCAGCGCAAGCGAAGCUCCUGAUCGAAGCCCCGGUAAACGGCGGCCGUAACUAUAACGGUCCUAAGGUAGCGAAAUUCCUUGUCGGGUAAGUUCCGACCUGCACGAAUGGCGUAAUGAUGGCCAGGCUGUCUCCACCCGAGACUCAGUGAAAUUGAACUCGCUGUGAAGAUGCAGUGUACCCGCGGCAAGACGGAAAGACCCCGUGAACCUUUACUAUAGCUUGACACUGAACAUUGAGCCUUGAUGUGUAG
Molecule: ribosomal RNA, 996 nt
Filed under: Salmonella enterica subsp. enterica serovar Newport
Lineage: Bacteria; Pseudomonadati; Pseudomonadota; Gammaproteobacteria; Enterobacterales; Enterobacteriaceae
Description: partial 23S ribosomal RNA
Rfam family: Bacterial large subunit ribosomal RNA
Source: RNAcentral